UACGUAGGGGGCUAGCGUUGUCCGGAAUCAUUGGGCGUAAAGCGCGUGUAGGCGGCCCGGUAAGUCCGCUGUGAAAGUCCAGGGCUCAACCCUGGGAUGCCGGUGGAUACUGUCGGGCUCGAGUCCGGAAGAGGCGAGUGGAAUUCCUGGUGUAGCGGUGAAAUGCGCAGAUAUCAGGAGGAACACCAAUGGCAAAGGCAGCUCGCUGGGACGUGACUGACGCUGAGACGCGAAAGCGUGGGGAGCAAACAGG
RNAcentral lists this ribosomal RNA (253 nucleotides) under uncultured bacterium. RNAcentral's name for it is "partial 16S ribosomal RNA". It matches the Rfam family "Bacterial small subunit ribosomal RNA", at positions 524 to 776 of the family's 1533-position model. The record is from RNAcentral.